This 267-nucleotide unclassified non-coding RNA is filed under the name Hevea brasiliensis (rubber tree). The record is from RNAcentral. Lineage: Eukaryota; Viridiplantae; Streptophyta; Magnoliopsida; Malpighiales; Euphorbiaceae.
GGUCCGAUCCACCUCGUCCAGGCUUGUGGCUAUUGAUUUCCUCUUCUUCGCCAUAGCUACCAAUUUCCCGAUUCCACCGAUUGAUUUUAUUUAUCAAAUUUGUUCAAUUACUAAAAAAUUUCCCCUAAUUUCCCUUAAAAAAAUAAAUAAAGGAGUCCUGCAAAGAAGAUGAUGAAAAUGAGAGGCGAAUUGCUUGUGGUUCUUUUAUACGUGGGAAGGGAAGGUGCCGCAAAGUCGGUAGCGUAGGGUGCAAUACAUUUGAUUAGU